Molecule: transfer RNA, 73 nt
Filed under: Marmota marmota marmota (Alpine marmot)
Lineage: Eukaryota; Metazoa; Chordata; Mammalia; Rodentia; Sciuridae
Also listed under: 1 other name
Rfam family: tRNA
About the family: Transfer RNA (tRNA) molecules are approximately 80 nucleotides in length. Their secondary structure includes four short double-helical elements and three loops (D, anti-codon, and T loops). Further hydrogen bonds mediate the characteristic L-shaped molecular structure. tRNAs have two regions of fundamental functional importance: the anti-codon, which is responsible for specific mRNA codon recognition, and the 3' end, to which the tRNAs corresponding amino acid is attached (by aminoacyl-tRNA synthetases). tRNAs cope with the degeneracy of the genetic code in two manners: having more than one tRNA (with a specific anti-codon) for a particular amino acid; and 'wobble' base-pairing, i.e. permitting non-standard base-pairing at the 3rd anti-codon position.
Source: Rfam by way of RNAcentral
UGGGUUGUGGCUCAGCGGUAUGAGCACUCGCCUUGCAUGUGGGUGGUUCUGGGUUUGAUCCUCAGCACCACAU